Molecule: ribosomal RNA, 882 nt
Filed under: Penicillium corylophilum
Lineage: Eukaryota; Fungi; Ascomycota; Eurotiomycetes; Eurotiales; Aspergillaceae
Description: LSU rRNA
Rfam family: Eukaryotic large subunit ribosomal RNA
Source: RNAcentral
GCGGAGGAAAGAAACCAACAGGGAUUGCCUCAGUAACGGCGAGUGAAGCGGCAAGAGCUCAAAUUUGAAAGCUGGCCCCCUCGGGGUCCGCAUUGUAAUUUGCAGAGGAUGCUUCGGGAGUGGCCCCCAUCUAAGUGCUCUGGAACGGGCCGUCAUAGAGGGUGAGAAUCCCGUAUGGGAUGGGGUGUCCGCGACCAUGUGAAGCUCCUUCGACGAGUCGAGUUGUUUGGGAAUGCAGCUCUAAAUGGGUGGUAAAUUUCAUCUAAAGCUAAAUAUUGGCCGGAGACCGAUAGCGCACAAGUAGAGUGAUCGAAAGAUGAAAAGCACUUUGAAAAGAGAGUUAAAAAGCACGUGAAAUUGUUGAAAGGGAAGCGCUUGCGACCAGACUCGCCUACGGGGUUCAGCCGGUAUUCGUACCGGUGUACUUCCCCGUGGGCGGGCCAGCGUCGGUUUGGGCGGCCGGUCAAAGGCCCUCGGAAUGUAACGCCUCUCGGGGCGUCUUAUAGCCGAGGGUGCCAUGCGGCCAGCCCGGACCGAGGAACGCGCUUCGGCACGGACGCUGGCAUAAUGGUCGUAAGCGACCCGUCUUGAAACACGGACCAAGGAGUCUAACAUCUACGCGAGUGUUCGGGUGUCAAACCCGUGCGCGCAGUGAAAGCGAACGGAGGUGGGAACCCUCACGGGUGCACCAUCGACCGAUCCUGAUGUCUUCGGAUGGAUUUGAGUAAGAGCGUAGCUGUUGGGACCCGAAAGAUGGUGAACUAUGCCUGAAUAGGGCGAAGCCAGAGGAAACUCUGGUGGAGGCUCGCAGCGGUUCUGACGUGCAAAUCGAUCGUCAAAUUUGGGUAUAGGGGCGAAAGACUAAUCGAACCAUCUAGUAGC